This 385-nucleotide ribosomal RNA is filed under the name uncultured bacterium. RNAcentral describes it as "bacterial SSU rRNA". It matches the Rfam family "Bacterial small subunit ribosomal RNA", at positions 30 to 414 of the family's 1533-position model. The record is from RNAcentral.
AUUGAACGCUGGCGGCAUGCCUUACACAUGCAAGUCGAACGGCAGCACGGGAGCAAUCCUGGUGGCGAGUGGCGAACGGGUGAGUAAUAUAUCGGAACGUGCCCAGUCGUGGGGGAUAACGUAGCGAAAGCUACGCUAAUACCGCAUACGAUCUAUGGAUGAAAGCGGGGGAUCGCAAGACCUCGCGCGAUUGGAGCGGCCGAUAUCAGAUUAGGUAGUUGGUGAGGUAAAGGCUCACCAAGCCGACGAUCUGUAGCUGGUCUGAGAGGACGACCAGCCACACUGGAACUGAGACACGGCCCAGACUCCUACGGGAGGCAGCAGUGGGGAAUUUUUGGACAAUGGGCGCAAGCCUGAUCCAGCAAUGCCGCGUGCAGGAUGAAGG